CAAGUCGAACGAAGUAGCAAUACUUAGUGGCAGACGGGUGAGUAACAUGUAGGUAUCUUCCCUUUGGUGAGGAAUAACACGAGGAAACUUGUGCUAAUACUUCAUAAGUCUUUACGGAGAAAGCUUUAUGCGCCGAAGGAUGAGCCUGCAUUUGAUUAGUUUGUUGGUGGGGUAAUGGCCUACCAAGACUUUGAUCAAUAGCUGAUCUGAGAGGAUGAUCAGCCACAUUGGGACUGAGACACGGCCCAAACUCCUACGGGAGGCAGCAGUAGGGAAUAUUGCACAAUGGAGGAAACUCUGAUGCAGCGAUGCCGCGUGAGUGAAGAAGGCCUUUGGGUUGUAAAGCUCUUUCGUCGGGGAAGAAAAUGACUGUACCCGAAUAAGAAGGUCCAGCUAACUUCGUGCCAGCAGCCGCGGUAAUACGAAGGGACCUAGCGUAGUUCGGAAUUACUGGGCUUAAAGAGUUCGUAGGUUGUUAAAAAAGUUGGUGGUGAAAUCCCAGAGCUUAACUCUGGAACUGCCAUCAAAACUUUUUAGCUAGAGUUUGAUAGAGGAAAGCAGAAUUUCUAGUGUAGAGGUGAAAUUCGUAGAUAUUAGAAAGAAUACCAAUUGCGAAGGCAGCUUUCUGGAUCAUUACUGACACUGAGGAACGAAAGCAUGGGUAGCGAAGAGGAUUAGAUACCCUCGUAGUCCAUGCCGUAAACGAUGUGUGUUAGACGUUGGAAAUUUAUUUUCAGUGUCGCAGCGAAAGCAUUAAACACACCGCCUGGGGAGUACGACCGCAAGGUUAAAACUCAAAUGAAUUGACGGGGACCCGCACAAGUAGUGGAGCAUGUGGUUUAAUUCGAAGAUACGCGCAGAACCUUACCAACACUUGACAUGUUCGUCGCGACUUUAAGAGAUUAAAGUUUUCGGUUCGGCCGGACGAAACACAGGUGCUGCA
Molecule: ribosomal RNA, 943 nt
Filed under: uncultured marine bacterium
Lineage: Bacteria
Description: bacterial SSU rRNA
Rfam family: Bacterial small subunit ribosomal RNA
Source: RNAcentral